GGGUGCUUAGCUCAGUUGCGAGCGCGGCGCCAUUAAAAGGCGUAGGUCGGCGGUUCGAACCCGUCAGCACCCACCA
Molecule: transfer RNA, 76 nt
Filed under: Anaerolineales bacterium
Lineage: Bacteria; Bacillati; Chloroflexota; Anaerolineae; Anaerolineales
Description: tRNA-Leu
Rfam family: tRNA
About the family: Transfer RNA (tRNA) molecules are approximately 80 nucleotides in length. Their secondary structure includes four short double-helical elements and three loops (D, anti-codon, and T loops).
Source: RNAcentral